GGAAUAAAUGUCAACUGUGAUAACAGGUGAUGAAGAUGUUGAUAAUGGAGAAGAACGUGUUUCACAUAUGGAUGCAAUUAAAGAUCUUACUGAAGAUUUGAAGGUCUUUGUGCCAAUAUACCACUUCUAACACUGUUGUCUUGAACUAAUUUCAAACAUUCAAAAAAACAUAGGAAUAGGACAGAGUGUCCCCUGCAAUUCAUCAAGGCAGAGCAAUCUGUCACCUUCUUCAUCUCUCCCAUCUAAUAUGAAGAAGGAAGUAGGACCAAUUACAUGAAAUAGAAGAUUUUUUAAUGCUGAAUAAAACUGUAUCCCAGGAAAAACACAAGCACUUCUUCUUCA
Molecule: long non-coding RNA, 342 nt
Filed under: Mus musculus (house mouse)
Lineage: Eukaryota; Metazoa; Chordata; Mammalia; Rodentia; Muridae
Description: RIKEN cDNA 4930519F24 gene
Source: RNAcentral